UAGUCCACGCCGUAAACGAUGAGUACUAAGUGUUGGAAGUCAAAUUUCAGUGCUGCAGUUAACGCAAUAAGUACUCCGCCUGAGUAGUACGUUCGCAAGAAUGAAACUCAAAGGAAUUGACGGGGGCCCGCACAAGCGGUGGAGCAUGUGGUUUAAUUCGAAGCAACGCGAAGAACCUUACCAGGUCUUGACAUACUUAUAAAGGCUCUAGAGAUAGAGAGAUAGCUAUAUGAGAUAC
RNAcentral lists this ribosomal RNA (238 nucleotides) under uncultured bacterium. RNAcentral describes it as "partial 16S ribosomal RNA". It matches the Rfam family "Bacterial small subunit ribosomal RNA", at positions 791 to 1035 of the family's 1533-position model. The record is from RNAcentral.